ACACACACACACACACACACACACACACACACAAAAGGCAGGUAGAAGAGCGCAGCAGAACAUCUCACAUGCUCGAUCCAGAGAAACUCAAAGUGCUUUUCAUGCUUCAGAGUGCAGAGAGCAUGCAGAGGAGGAAGAGGAGGAGGAGGA
Long non-coding RNA from Salarias fasciatus (jewelled blenny), 150 nucleotides. RefSeq lists it as uncharacterized. The record is from RefSeq and is a predicted model, not a curated record. NCBI's taxonomy places the organism in Eukaryota, Metazoa, Chordata, Actinopteri, Blenniiformes, Blenniidae. The transcript has 3 exons.